CCUACGGGUGGCUGCAGUGGGGAAUAUUGCACAAUGGGCGCAAGCCUGAUGCAGCCAUGCCGCGUGUGUGAAGAAGGCCUUCGGGUUGUAAAGCACUUUCAGCGGGGAGGAAGGCGUUAAGGUUAAUAACCUUGGCGAUUGACGUUACCCGCAGAAGAAGCACCGGCUAACUCCGUGCCAGCAGCCGCUGUAAUACGGAGGGUGCAAGCGUUAAUCGGAAUUACUGGGCGUAAAGCGCACGCAGGCGGUCUGUCAAGUCGGAUGUGAAAUCCCCGGGCUCAACCUGGGAACUGCAUUCGAAACUGGCAGGCUAGAGUCUUGUAGAGGGGGGUAGAAUUCCAGGUGUAGCGGUGAAAUGCGUAGAGAUCUGGAGGAAUACCGGUGGCGAAGGCGGCCCCCUGGACAAAGACUGACGCUCAGGUGCGAAAGCGUGGGGAGCAAACAGGAUUAGAUACCCCGGUAGUC
RNAcentral lists this ribosomal RNA (465 nucleotides) under uncultured Klebsiella sp. RNAcentral's name for it is "bacterial SSU rRNA". It matches the Rfam family "Bacterial small subunit ribosomal RNA", at positions 338 to 795 of the family's 1533-position model. The record is from RNAcentral. Lineage: Bacteria; Pseudomonadati; Pseudomonadota; Gammaproteobacteria; Enterobacterales; Enterobacteriaceae.